RNAcentral lists this ribosomal RNA (406 nucleotides) under uncultured bacterium. RNAcentral's name for it is "partial 16S ribosomal RNA". It matches the Rfam family "Bacterial small subunit ribosomal RNA", at positions 30 to 526 of the family's 1533-position model. The record is from RNAcentral.
AUUGAACGCUGGCGGCAGGCCUAACACAUGCAAGUCGAACGAGUGGCGGACGGGUGAGUAAUGUCUGGGAAACUGCCUGUUGGAGGGGGAUAACUACUGGAAACGGUAGCUAAUACCGCAUACCAUCGGAUGUGCCCAGCUGGGAUUAGCUAGUAGGUGGGGUAAAGGCUCACCUAGGCGACGAUCCGUAACUGGUCGGAGAGGAUGACCAGUAACACUGGAACGGAGACACGGUCCAGACUCCUACGGGAGGCAGCAGGGGGGAAUAUUGGACAAUGGGCGAAAGCCUGAUGCAGCCAUGCCGCGUGUGUGAAGAAGGACUUCGGAUUGUAAAGUACUUUCAGCUGGGAGGCGUUACUAACAGAAGAAGCACCGGCUAACUUCGUGCCAGCAGCCGCGGUAAUUC